GAUCGGACAGUACGUUGCGGCUUGCAGGUGUGAUGUGACGCAAUUAUGCCACGGCAGAAAGUUAUAGCAUGAACAUAUAUUGGCAAUAUAACUACUUUUGUUUUCAGACUAGAACAAAAGGAGUAAUCAUAGACCACUAAUGUUUCUAACAGUUUGAGUGUGAAUGAAGAGAAUAACAGAAGGAAGAACUGCCCCCAAAAAUUCUCCAUUACCUGCAGAAAAGAUGUAAGGUCAGAACAGAAAUAUCAUUGGGUUGGAAGUGUGUUGGACAGAAGACGUUGACUGUUGAGACGUCGGUUGUUGCAGUGCUACCAACUUACUCCUGUAGUGCAAGCUUCAGGCAAAAAAGUAUUUUUGAUCAAUUGGUUAAUUGUAAAUAAAUUUUUUCUUA
Long non-coding RNA from Daphnia carinata, 391 nucleotides. RefSeq lists it as uncharacterized. The record is from RefSeq and is a predicted model, not a curated record. NCBI's taxonomy places the organism in Eukaryota, Metazoa, Arthropoda, Branchiopoda, Diplostraca, Daphniidae. The transcript is spliced from 2 exons.